Molecule: ribosomal RNA, 253 nt
Filed under: uncultured bacterium
Lineage: Bacteria
Description: partial 16S ribosomal RNA
Rfam family: Bacterial small subunit ribosomal RNA
Source: RNAcentral
UACAGAGGUCCCAAGCGUUGUUCGGAUUCACUGGGCGUAAAGGGUGCGUAGGUGGCGGGGUAAGUUUGAUGUAAAAUCUCCGGGCUUAACCCGGAAACUGCAUUGAAUACUGUUGAGCUGGAGGUUUGGAGGGGGGACUGGAAUUCUUGGUGUAGCAGUGAAAUGCGUAGAUAUCAAGAGGAACACCAGUGGCGAAGGCGAGUCCCUGGACAACACCUGACACUGAGGCACGAAAGCUAGGGGAGCAAACAGG